AGCUCCAAUAGCGUAUAUUAAAGUUGUUGCAGUUAGAACGCUCGUAGUCGGAUUUCGGGGCGGGCCGACCGGUCUGCCGAUGGGUACGCACUGGUCGGCGCGUCCUUCCUUCCGGAGACCGUGCCUACUCUUAACUGAGCGGGGGCGGGAGACGGAUCGUUUACUUUGAAAAAAUCAGAGUGUUUCAAGCAGGCAGCUCGCUCUUGCAUGGAUUAGCAUGGGAUAAUGAAAUAGGACUCUGGUGCUAUUUUGUUGGUUUCGAACACCGGAGUAAUGAUUAACAGGGACAGUCAGGGGCACUCGUAUUCCGUCGAGAGAGGUGAAAUUCUCAGACCAAUGGAAGACGAACCACUGCGAAAGCAUUUGCCAGGGAUGUUUUCACUG
This 384-nucleotide ribosomal RNA is filed under the name Chrysochromulina sp. Its description in RNAcentral is "partial small subunit ribosomal RNA". It matches the Rfam family "Eukaryotic small subunit ribosomal RNA", at positions 587 to 975 of the family's 1831-position model. Lineage: Eukaryota; Haptophyta; Prymnesiales; Chrysochromulinaceae. The record is from RNAcentral.